UACGGAGGAGGCAAGCGUUAUCCGGAAUUAUUGGGCGUAAAGCGUCCGUAGGUGGCUAGUCAAGUCUGCGGUCAAAGACUGGGGCUUAACCCUGGAAAGGCCGUGGAAACUGACGAGCUAGAGUGCAGUAGGGGUAGAGGGAAUUCCCGGUGUAGCGGUGAAAUGCGUAGAUAUUGGGAAGAACACCGGUGGCGAAAGCGCUCUGCUGAGCCUGCACUGACACUGAGGGACGAAAGCUAGGGGAGCGAAAGGG
RNAcentral lists this ribosomal RNA (253 nucleotides) under uncultured bacterium. RNAcentral's name for it is "partial 16S ribosomal RNA". It matches the Rfam family "Bacterial small subunit ribosomal RNA", at positions 524 to 776 of the family's 1533-position model. The record is from RNAcentral.